AUACGGGAGGCAGCAGUAGGGAAUAUUGCUUAAUGGGCGCAAGCCUGAAGCAGCAACGCCGCGUGUGCGAUGACGGCCUUCGGGUUGUAAAGCACUUUUUACCGGGAAGAGGAAGGACGGUACCGGUAGAAUCAGCCUCGGCUAACUACGUGCCAGCAGCCGCGGUAAAACGUAGGAGGCGAGCGUUAUCCGGAUUUACUGGGUGUAAAGCGCGUGCAGGCGGUUUGAUAAGUUGGGUGUGAAAGCUCCUGGCUCAACUGGGAGAGGUCGCUCAAGACUGUCAGACUAGAGCAUGGUAGGGGAAGGUGGAAUUCCGGGUGUAGUGGUGAAAUGCGUAGAUAUCCGGAGGAACACCAGUGGCGAAAGCGGCCUUCUGGACCAUGACUGACGCUCAGACGCGAAAGCUAGGGGAGCAAACGGGAUUAGAUACCCCGGU
RNAcentral lists this ribosomal RNA (436 nucleotides) under uncultured bacterium. Its description in RNAcentral is "bacterial SSU rRNA". It matches the Rfam family "Bacterial small subunit ribosomal RNA", at positions 339 to 791 of the family's 1533-position model. The record is from RNAcentral.